GCCAGUGUGGUGCCGUGGUUUGACUGUUGGACUACAACUCUACAGAUCAGGGUUCAAAUCCCCACUCAGCCA
This is a non-coding RNA of Phrynosoma platyrhinos (Desert horned lizard), 72 nucleotides long. The record is from the annotation of a GenBank genome assembly. Lineage: Eukaryota; Metazoa; Chordata; Lepidosauria; Squamata; Phrynosomatidae.